Gallus gallus (chicken) is the source of this 679-nucleotide long non-coding RNA. Lineage: Eukaryota; Metazoa; Chordata; Aves; Galliformes; Phasianidae. The record is from Ensembl.
GAGGUUGCAGUUCUCUUGGGCUGUUGCUGGUCAUCAGAAAGGUUCAGGCUCAUCUCCAGACUGAGAUCCCAAGUGGAGCAUUAUCAUAACUUGAAUCGCUGUUUCCCGGAGGCUGCACGUCUCGCACACUGUCCUGCUGUGGCUGGGAAUGCAUGAGGCUUGCGUCACCAUUGAGAGCAUGUGGUUAUAUAAGUGGUAUCCUAAGGAGAGGCAACAACACGUCCCUCUCGGAGAUGUCUGAAAACCUGGCUGUGACCUAGAAAAGACGCAGAGGAGGAGUUGUUUACGGUCUCAAAGGCAUCUUUCUAGUGCCCACUACUAAUCUGAUAGGAGGCCUAUGAAAAAAAGACAACUAUUCAAAACUUCUUUUUCAGCUAAAGCUUUCUACAGGUUUAGCUACAGCUGAGCAUCAUAUUGGUCACACCAGUCCUAGUUAGAUAAAUGCUAGAGCUCCAGUGCAUAUUGUUUUGAGGCAUAAAACAUGGAUCUUUUAACACAAAGCAAGCAAACAUCUUUCUUGCUUUUUCUUUCUGUUGUUUGAAAUUCCUUUUUGGCACAGUGCUUACAUAUUUGUUUUGACCACACAGCAGCGCAGCUGAAAAAAUUGUCAUGAAGUUCAAUAAAGGGAAAGUGAUAGCCAGGGCUGAGUCAUUGCAUGUAUGAGAGCUGGGAGGAGGAA